Molecule: long non-coding RNA, 637 nt
Organism: Tyto alba (common barn owl)
Lineage: Eukaryota; Metazoa; Chordata; Aves; Strigiformes; Tytonidae
Exons: 3
Source: RefSeq, a predicted model, not a curated record
UGAAAGGUUACAGAAAAAAAACACAGGGAAAUGCUGUGUACAGGCAAAGGACUUCCAGUCGGUUGGCCGUGAAAGUGCACCUUUGGGGCCAAGACCUUGAUAGAAGAGGUCUUCAAGAUGAAUAAAAAUGCUCCCUCCUGUCCUCUGACUUGCUGAGCAGAGAUAAGACUGAACAAAGACAGAUUUUUAAGAGGACGAAAAGAAAAAAAUUAACAGCUCAGAUUUUAAAAGAGAAAGAAGGUACUCAACUGCUACUAUGUCCACACCUAGGGAAGAAGGUAGUACUGUUUACAGCCACAGAAGACGACUGGAAGAACUAGGAAAGCUUGCUUCCCAGCAUUACUGUUGCACAGCAAGAGGGAGAAGCAAAAUAUGGCACAACAGAGACUGUUUUUAAAACAGAAGGGAUGAUGUUCUUUGAACUACUGCACUCUCUUCCCUGCCCAUAGGAAACAUUAUUGACAGUCCAUGAAAAGUGCCGUUGCUGUGUCUGGUUUACCAGAGUAGAGACCACACUCCCAGCUGUUUGAAGAAGUUGCCAUGCCUUGAUCUUUGUCAUGCUUGUGUAGUGAUGCGCCUGCCUACAGCUUGCAGCUAUGCUUUACCUGAAAAAUACUUUCAGGCAUAUAACAUAUCC